GAUGAACGCUGGCGGCGUGCCUAAUACAUGCAAGUCGAGCGAACAGACGAGGCGCCUGCUCCUCUGACGUUAGCGGCGGACGGGUGAGUCACACGUGGAUAACCUCCCUAUAAGACUGGGAUAAUUUCGGGAAAGCGGCGCUAAUACCGGAUAAUCUCUUGAACCGCGUGGGUCAUUAGUGAAAGACGGCUUUGCUGUCACUUAUCGAUGGAUCUCGGCCGCAUUAGCUAGUUGUGAAGGUAACGGCUUGCCAAGGCAAGGAUGCGUAGCCGACAUGAGGGGAGGAUCGGCCACACUGGAGCGGGGACGCGGUCAAGGGUCCUACGGGAGGCAGCAGUAGGGAAUCGGACGCAAUGGGCGGAAGCCUGGCGGAGCAACGCGGCGUGAGUGAUGAAGGUCUUCGGUUCGUAAACAUCGGUUAUGAGGGAAAAACAAAUGUGUAAGGAACUAUGGACGUCGUGACGGUACCUAAUCAGAAAGCCACGGCUAACUACGUG
This 497-nucleotide ribosomal RNA is filed under the name uncultured bacterium. RNAcentral describes it as "partial 16S ribosomal RNA". It matches the Rfam family "Bacterial small subunit ribosomal RNA", at positions 28 to 507 of the family's 1533-position model. The record is from RNAcentral.